AUUUUCCCCGCGCUCGAGCAGCUGUAGCGACAACAAUGUCUGAUCAUCCCUGGCCGAGUGUCUUUACACCAAAACAGAGUGUCAUGUUCAUGCAUACCUGCUGUUGUCCGUGGCUGUGACCUGUCAUCAGAGAUGAUGAACCACUGAUCCUGCAGAAAGGUUUAAGGCACUUGUCCUCCAUAUUAGAAGACAUGAGAAGACUUCAAACAAUUUUUGUGAUUUUGAGUUCCCCUUUGCUGCUCCUUCCCCCCAAUCACCGGCUUGUUCCCACUAGGCUCCAUCUGCUCGUGGAGGGGGCCGCAGCAGCUGCAAAGCCUGAAUCUUGCGCUCCUCUGUGCUUGCCUGCCUGCCACUGCACACGAGCACCAGCUGUAAACUAGCCUACGCAGCCUAUAGCACUGCUGCUAAAAAUCACAGAGAGAUUAGGCAGGUGAUUAGUUAGUGAUAGCACAGAGUGGAUGGGAUUUUAGGUAAUACUGGUUAAACAAUAUAGAAAAUAGGCAUGUUUGAGAGUACUUUAUCUGAAAAGCUUACUCAAAUAGUUAAUACCAACUCAUAAGGUUAUAGGGUUAGGGUCAGUACAUAAUAUCUUCCUCUGGCCUCUGUAUUAUAGUUGUUUUUGUUGAUGUUUUUUCCAGACAAAAUUUUAAAUCUUUUUUGUCACUGUGGCACAAGAGCAACAUAUGGUGUAAAAAUUUUGUAUCAUCACAAUAACAACUUUGUUUUCAUUCAUUUAAAGUAUAUACGCACAAUGUCAUUUACUUGGUUGAGUUUUCAGCUUUCAAGUGUAAUGAACUUGACUACUUGAGUAAUGACUACUAAUAUUGCUAACUGGAAGGAAUAUAUUGAGCGGGACGUAAUAUUUGUAAAUAGGUGGCAAAAACUUGAAGGGUUUUAUGGAGUUCUGCAUUUUGCGAAAGCUUCAGAGCAGUGGGGUUGAUAAGUUAAAGUUAGAUACUAUUGUCAUAUUAAGAAAGAAAGAGCUGUGAAAUGUUUUCAUACUUUUAAUAAUCUUUUGAAAUUAGACCCUGUUAUCUUUUAGAAGUAGAAUCUUUGCUUGGAUCAUAAAAUUUGCCUUUUUCAUAAACCUAACCCCAUCAAUAGGCAGUUACUUAUAGGAAUGAGUAGAUGGGAUUUUAUGUAAUACUGAUUAAACAAUAUAAACAAGUGCAUGUUUAAGAGCAGUUUAUGUCUGGGAAUGACAGCAGUUCACUUGAUCAUUUGUAUUCUUUUAUAAUAUUUCAGUACUUGAUAUUAGCUUCUGGUGUUAUUUUUACUUAUUUAUUAUUUUUGAAAAGCAUCAAGGAUAUGUUUUCUAUUUUGUAUAUUUAUGGCACUUCCUGUAUAUCUAAAGCAAAUGCCCAUAUCAUUUGAAUAAUAUAAAUGGCUUCUGAUAUUGCUGGGAUGGGACGUAUGGGAUGUCUGUUAAUGUCCCAUGUAUUUUGUGCAAGCUUUCAGUGUAGAGGUGCUGAAUACGACCAAGAGAAACGAGGAACAGACCAAGUUUGAGAUGUCACUGUUAUUUCAUAUUGAC
Long non-coding RNA from Ctenopharyngodon idella (grass carp), 1534 nucleotides. RefSeq lists it as uncharacterized. The record is from RefSeq and is a predicted model, not a curated record. Lineage: Eukaryota; Metazoa; Chordata; Actinopteri; Cypriniformes; Xenocyprididae. The transcript is spliced from 4 exons.